This 468-nucleotide ribosomal RNA is filed under the name uncultured bacterium. Its description in RNAcentral is "partial 16S ribosomal RNA". It matches the Rfam family "Bacterial small subunit ribosomal RNA", at positions 28 to 507 of the family's 1533-position model. The record is from RNAcentral.
GACGAACGCUGGCGGCGUGCUUAACACAUGCAAGUCGAACGGAAAGGCCCUGCUUUUGUGGGGUGCUCGAGUGGCGAACGGGUGAGUAACACGUGAGUAACCUGCCCUUGACUUUGGGAUAACUUCAGGAAACUGGGGCUAAUACCGGAUAGGAGCUCCUGCUGCAUGGUGGGGGUUGGAGAGUUUCGGCGGUUGGGGAUGGACUCGCGGCUUAUCAGCUUGUUGGUGGGGUAGUGGCUUACCAAGGCUUUGACGGGUAGCCGGCCUGAGAGGGUGACCGGCCACAUUGGGACUGAGAUACGGCCCAGACUCCUACGGGAGGCAGCAGUGGGGAAUAUUGCACAAUGGGCGGAAGCCUGAUGCAGCAACGCCGCGUGCGGGAUGACGGCCUUCGGGUUGUAAACCGCUUCCGCCUGUGACGAAGCGUGAGUGACGGUAAUGGGUAAAGAAGCACCGGCUAACUACGUG